AGUUCAACUGGAUAGAAUAUCAGAUUUCGGCUCUGAGGGUUGGGGGUUCGAAUCCUCCC
This 59-nucleotide transfer RNA is filed under the name Saprospiraceae bacterium. RNAcentral describes it as "tRNA-Arg". It matches the Rfam family "tRNA", at positions 9 to 64 of the family's 71-position model. Rfam says of the family: Transfer RNA (tRNA) molecules are approximately 80 nucleotides in length. The record is from RNAcentral. Lineage: Bacteria; Pseudomonadati; Bacteroidota; Saprospiria; Saprospirales; Saprospiraceae.